This 442-nucleotide ribosomal RNA is filed under the name uncultured bacterium. Its description in RNAcentral is "partial 16S ribosomal RNA". It matches the Rfam family "Bacterial small subunit ribosomal RNA", at positions 338 to 795 of the family's 1533-position model. The record is from RNAcentral.
CCUACGGGUGGCAGCAGUGGGGAAUAUUGGGCAAUGGGCGCAAGCCUGACCCAGCAACGCCGCGUGAAGGAAGAAGGCUUUCGGGUUGUAAACUUCUUUUAAGAGGGAAGAGCAGAAGACGGUACCUCUUGAAUAAGCCACGGCUAACUACGUGCCAGCAGCCGCGGUAAUACGUAGGUGGCAAGCGUUGUCCGGAUUUACUGGGAGUAAAGGGCGUGUAGCCGGGCUGACAAGUCAGAUGUGAAAUUCCCGGGCUCAACCCCGGACCUGCAUUUGAAACCGUUGGUCUUGAGUAUCGGAGAGGCAGGCGGAAUUCCUGGUGUAGCGGUGAAAGGCGUAGAUAUUAGGAGGAACACCAGUGGCGAAGGCGGCCUGCUGGACAACAACUGACGGUGAGGCGCGAAAGCGUGGGGAGCAAACAGGAUUAGAUACCCUAGUAGUC